UACGAGGGGGGCAAGCGUUGUUCGGAAUUACUGGGCGUAAAGGGCGCGUAGGCGGCCGAUCAAGUCAGGCGUGAAAUUCCCGGGCUCAACCUGGGGGCUGCGCUUGAUACUGAUUGGCUUGAAUGCGGGAGAGGAUAGUGGAAUUCCCAGUGUAGAGGUGAAAUUCGUAGAUAUUGGGAAGAACACCGGUGGCGAAGGCGGCUAUCUGGCCCGUAAUUGACGCUGAGGCGCGAAAGCGUGGGGAGCAAACAGG
RNAcentral lists this ribosomal RNA (253 nucleotides) under uncultured bacterium. RNAcentral's name for it is "partial 16S ribosomal RNA". It matches the Rfam family "Bacterial small subunit ribosomal RNA", at positions 524 to 776 of the family's 1533-position model. The record is from RNAcentral.